RNAcentral lists this unclassified non-coding RNA (83 nucleotides) under Pseudomonas sp. NFACC05-1. Lineage: Bacteria; Pseudomonadati; Pseudomonadota; Gammaproteobacteria; Pseudomonadales; Pseudomonadaceae. The record is from RNAcentral.
CACUGUGGCCAGCAUGGUUAGUUCGUCAGUUCUACUUCUGGCGCCGAAGUAGAACUGACGAACUAACCAUACUGGCCACCAUC